GUGAAUCAUCAAAUUUUUGAACGCAAAUUGCGCCUUUUUCGGUAGGCAUGUCUGUGUGAGGGCGACAUUUAACAAAUAAUGUGCAGUGUUUUUUGUUGUACACGUUGAUGAGCUUUCCAAGAAUUUUAAACUUUUGGUGGCGCAUAAUGAACAGCGUGAAAGUUUUUUUCAGUUCGAGUGUAGUAAAACCUUUGCUUGGGUUGUGAAAAAAUAUAAUAGCGCAAUGGGUGUGGUAAUUUCUUUUUAUCCCUGCCCGAAUGCGACUCUUUCUAACGUAAGAA
RNAcentral lists this unclassified non-coding RNA (281 nucleotides) under Paraglomerales sp. RNAcentral describes it as "partial internal transcribed spacer 2". The stretch from base 1 to 65 matches the Rfam family "5.8S ribosomal RNA", at positions 84 to 154 of the family's 154-position model. The record is from RNAcentral. Lineage: Eukaryota; Fungi; Glomeromycota; Glomeromycetes; Paraglomerales.